This 497-nucleotide ribosomal RNA is filed under the name uncultured bacterium. RNAcentral's name for it is "partial 16S ribosomal RNA". It matches the Rfam family "Bacterial small subunit ribosomal RNA", at positions 28 to 507 of the family's 1533-position model. The record is from RNAcentral.
GAUGAACGCUGGCGGCGUGCCUAAUACAUGCAAGUCGAGCGAACGGACGAGAAGCUUGCUUCUCUGAUGUUAGCGGCGGACGGGUGAGUAACACGUGGAUAACCUACCUAUAAGACUGGGAUAACUUCGGGAAACCGGAGCUAAUACCGGAUAAUAUUUUGAACCGCAUGGUUCAAAAGUGAAAGACGGUCUUGCUGUCACUUAUAGAUGGAUCCGCGCUGCAUUAGCUAGUUGGUAAGGUAACGGCUUACCAAGGCAACGAUGCAUAGCCGACCUGAGAGGUUGAUCGGCCACACAAGAACUGAGACACGGACCAGACUGCAGCGGGAGGCAGCAGUAGGGAAUAUUCCGCAAGGGGCGAAGGCCUGACGGAGCAACGCCGCGUGAGUGAUGAAGGUCUUCGGAUCGUAAAACUCUGUUAUUAGGGAAGAACAUAUGUGUAAGUAACUGUGCACAUCUUGACGGUACCUAAUCAGAAAGCCACGGCUAACUACGUG